AACGGCCAUACCAUGCUGAAUAUACCGGUUCUCGUUAGAUCACCGAAGUCAUCGGUCGCGGUCAGUACUUGGGUGGGUGACCACCGCGGAACACUGCGUGCCGUU
Molecule: non-coding RNA, 105 nt
Organism: Caerostris darwini
Lineage: Eukaryota; Metazoa; Arthropoda; Arachnida; Araneae; Araneidae
Source: the annotation of a GenBank genome assembly